Molecule: long non-coding RNA, 219 nt
Organism: Alosa sapidissima (American shad)
Lineage: Eukaryota; Metazoa; Chordata; Actinopteri; Clupeiformes; Clupeidae
Exons: 3
Source: RefSeq, a predicted model, not a curated record
GAGGACUUUAAUGAAGAAUGUGAGGACACAAGUUGUGAGGAAAGAGAAGAGCGUUUGCGUGAGAUACAGGAGCUCAGCAAAGACUACCAGAACACUAAAUGGCUCUUCGAAGAGGCAAAAAAGGCAGCAGACUGGUUGGAUGAAAACAGUGGGCUGAUAAAAAAUAAAUAUUGGCUGCCACGGGUGUUGGACAUGGAGGCGGAAGAGCAGGAGGAGGUG